Molecule: unclassified non-coding RNA, 208 nt
Filed under: Hevea brasiliensis (rubber tree)
Lineage: Eukaryota; Viridiplantae; Streptophyta; Magnoliopsida; Malpighiales; Euphorbiaceae
Source: RNAcentral
UUUUUUUUUUUUUUUUGGGUUUUGGCGUUUAAAGAUUUGUAUUCAACGAAUGCAGUAAUUCUCUAGGAUUUAUAGAGAAACACUGCAAGAAUUGAUGGAGAAAUGGGAGAUUGGAAGAGCUUAUAUAGUUGUUUGGCCAUGAAAGAAUGGAUGACAGUAGGCGAAAAUAGAGGUGGAGCGUUCACCGGGGAGUGAGGAUUGCCACGAG